Molecule: non-coding RNA, 639 nt
Organism: Phoenix dactylifera (date palm)
Lineage: Eukaryota; Viridiplantae; Streptophyta; Magnoliopsida; Arecales; Arecaceae
Source: RefSeq, a predicted model, not a curated record
UAGCCUUCCUAACCACUCCACCUCAUGGCUGCAAAAUGGCCGGUCCAGGACCCUUCCCACAGAGUUGGUUGCCCGGCUUCCAUUGCUUCCUCUAAACCAAAGCACUAAAAAAGGAAGGUGAAAAGCCAAGCCCGCAAAGCAUUAACUUCAAGCCACCAGCUUCCUCUGUGGGGUCUUUAUCUCCAUUUCCUUGGCCAUGGGGCCUUUUAUUGGUUCUAAUUCUCAUUUUAUGCUACUUGAAAGAUGUAUGAUCCAAGGCACUACCACCAACCAAAUCCUUACGGACCAUACCCUGCGCAAGGUUAUUAUCAGGGGCCUCCUGUAAUGGCUCCACCUCAAUAUGCUCCUCCUCCUCCUCCAUCCAAAAAAAACAAUGGGUUUUUAGCAGGAUGCCUUGCGGUUCUAUGUUGUUGUUGCGUCGUCGACGAAUGUUGCGAGUGUUGUUGUGAUCCAUUGAUUUUUUUGGCUAGUUGAUUAUCACUAUUUUAGUAGCAUUUGUGAAUCAUUGAUUCAGAGAGGUUUUUAUUUUUUUUAAGAGAAAUGAGAUGAUUGUACCUGCAAACUAUCACUUUGUACAUGUUAGUUCAGAUUGAUAUCUCCAAAAAUCUUGACAAAUCAAAAUGAAGGCAAGAGAUUGAC